RNAcentral lists this non-coding RNA (106 nucleotides) under Novibacillus thermophilus. RNAcentral's name for it is "TPP sequence". It matches the Rfam family "TPP riboswitch aptamer (THI element)". Rfam says of the family: Vitamin B(1) in its active form thiamin pyrophosphate (TPP) is an essential coenzyme that is synthesised by coupling of pyrimidine and thiazole moieties in bacteria. The previously detected thiamin-regulatory element, thi box was extended, resulting in a new, highly conserved RNA secondary structure, the THI element, which is widely distributed in eubacteria and also occurs in some archaea. Analysis of operon structures identified a large number of new candidate thiamin-regulated genes, mostly transporters, in various prokaryotic organisms. The record is from Rfam by way of RNAcentral. Lineage: Bacteria; Bacillati; Bacillota; Bacilli; Caryophanales; Thermoactinomycetaceae.
UUUAGCCACUAGGGGUGCAUCGAUUCGAUGCUGAGAAAGAGCGCACUCUUGACCCUUAGAACCUGAUCUAGUUCGUACUAGCGGAGGGAAGUGGUAUAUGCACUUA